RNAcentral lists this long non-coding RNA (495 nucleotides) under Monodelphis domestica (gray short-tailed opossum). Its description in RNAcentral is "lncRNA (ENSMODG00000039865.1)". Lineage: Eukaryota; Metazoa; Chordata; Mammalia; Didelphimorphia; Didelphidae. The record is from RNAcentral.
AUGAUGGCGGCCGGAGCGGGGAGCCGCCCCCAGGGGGAGCGGGGUAGGCACAGCGGUGGCCGCUGUGGCAGCGACGGCGACCGCGGCUUUCCGGAGAGCCCUCGGAGGGAUCGAAGGGCGGUUUGUCGGGGAGUACCCCACCCCGGCGCCGGCAGCCAACUCAGGCGGCAACGGCAGGCACUUUCGCCUACCGGCCACACUUCCGACUUCCGGCCGCCCUGGAGCCACGCCCCCCUCACCCACUCGUCUGCCAAGGACGGCCGCGGGGCGGGGCGGGAGAAGGAGGCCCAAGAAGACAAGAUUCAUUUUCAUGUUUCCUCUGAUUUUUGGAUGACUUCUAGCACUUAGCAAGUGCUCUCUCUCUACAAAGCAAAGCUGACAAGCAAUUCCAUUGGCUUAUACAUGGAUUAUCACUCAAAAUCUAUUUACAUAUUGCUCAUUUUUGUAAGAGAGUAAUCUAAUAAAACCAAACCCCAAAUAAUAUACCUAAAUGAA